This 253-nucleotide ribosomal RNA is filed under the name uncultured bacterium. RNAcentral describes it as "partial 16S ribosomal RNA". It matches the Rfam family "Bacterial small subunit ribosomal RNA", at positions 524 to 776 of the family's 1533-position model. The record is from RNAcentral.
UACGGAGGGGGCUAGCGUUGUUCGGAAUGACUGGGCGUAAAGCGCGCGUAGGCGGAUCGGAAAGUUGGGGGUGAAAUCCCGGGGCUCAACCUCGGAAUUGCCUUCAAGACUUCCGGUCUUGAGUUCGAGAGAGGUGAGUGGAAUUCCGAGUGUAGAGGUGAAAUUCGUAGAUAUUUGGAGGAACACCAGUGGCGAAGGCGGCUCACUGGUCCAUUACUGACGCUGAGGUGCGAAAGCGUGGGGAGCAAACAGG